RNAcentral lists this ribosomal RNA (873 nucleotides) under marine metagenome. RNAcentral's name for it is "bacterial SSU rRNA". It matches the Rfam family "Bacterial small subunit ribosomal RNA", at positions 141 to 1046 of the family's 1533-position model. The record is from RNAcentral.
GAAUAACACGAGGAAACUUGUGCUAAUACCGGAUAAGUCUUUACGGAGAAAGCUUUAUGCACCAUUGGAUGAGCCCGCACUUGAUUAGUUUGUUGGUGGGGUAAUGGCCUACCAAGACUGUGAUCAAUAGCUGAUUUGAGAGGAUGAUCAGCCACAUUGGGACUGAGACACGGCCCAAACUCCUACGGGAGGCAGCAGUGGGGAAUCUUGCACAAUGGAGGAAACUCUGAUGCAGCGAUGCCGCGUGAGUGAAGAAGGCCUUUGGGUUGUAAAGCUCUUUCGUCGGGGAAGAAAAUGACUGUACCCGAAUAAGAAGGUCCGGCUAACUUCGUGCCAGCAGCCGCGGUAAUACGAAGGGACCUAGCGUAGUUCGGAAUUACUGGGCUUAAAGAGUUCGUAGGUGGUUGAAAAAGUUGGUGGUGAAAUCCCAGAGCUUAACUCUGGAACUGCCAUCAAAACUUUUCAGCUAGAGUAUGAUAGAGGAAAGCAGAAUUUCUAGUGUAGAGGUGAAAUUCGUAGAUAUUAGAAAGAAUACCAAUUGCGAAGGCAGCUUUCUGGAUCAUUACUGACACUGAGGAACGAAAGCAUGGGUAGCGAAGAGGAUUAGAUACCCUCGUAGUCCAUGCCGUAAACGAUGUGUGUUAGACGUUGGAAAUUUAUUUUCAGUGUCGCAGCGAAAGCGAUAAACACACCGCCUGGGGAGUACGACCGCAAGGUUAAAACUCAAAUGAAUUGACGGGGACCCGCACAAGUAGUGGAGCAUGUGGUUUAAUUCGAAGAUACGCGCAGAACCUUACCAACACUUGACAUGUUCGUCGCGACUCUAAGAGAUUAGAGUUUUCGGUUCGGCCGGACGAAACACAGGUGCUGCAU